RNAcentral lists this long non-coding RNA (1443 nucleotides) under Sinocyclocheilus anshuiensis. RNAcentral describes it as "lncRNA (ENSSANG00000031437.1)". Lineage: Eukaryota; Metazoa; Chordata; Actinopteri; Cypriniformes; Cyprinidae. The record is from RNAcentral.
AUCCAAGACGCAUAUUUCAACAAAGAAAUGGGAAGUGUGUUUUUAAAGUGAUACAUUGUUUCACACACGUGCGCAUCAAACAGCGGCGAACAAGCAUGUUUGAGAUACAUGUCAUAUUAAAAUGGCAACAUUAUUUUCCCGACAAAAUAUAAAUAGAGCGUAACGAAAAAUCGGAACACGCCCCACUUCUCGCGACACUAUGAACCGCCCAAACAGUUAUCGGGCGAUUUAAACCUUUGUUGCGAGAACGCGACUCAUUGUUACCAUCACCUCAACACCGACGCGUCGUUCCGCCGCUACCUGUAAAUUACCAGCGCUAAAAUGGCUAACAAUCUUAACGUCGACGAGGCUCGAAACGGCGAAGAUAACACAACGCCUGUUGACGAUGCUCGUCGUCUUACAAAUGGUGAAGAGAAUACAAUUCAAAGUCAGCUUGUUACGCCAUCAGGUGUCCCGUCGUCAUGUGCACCUGAUGAAUCAGCAGCCCCGGAUAACCUUAAAACGGUGGUAUCAGUACCUUUGAGUGGCAGUAACAGUGGGUCUGAACCCUGUGACGGCGGUGUAGCAGUGACGCCAGGGGAUUCACUCCAGGAUACAACAACACAGAGUCUUGAGCCCAAGUCCAAUGGAUGCAACACGUCCACCUUGAGAUGUGGGGAAAAGCGGGAGAGGGAAUCGGACAACCCCUCUGAUGUUCCUGUGAAACGGCGUUUGAGACCAUCAGAGGAUAACGGGAAAGAAUGUUUACCAGACUACGAUGUGAGAUGUGCAGAGCUAUGGAUCGAUGGUGAAAUGGCUGCUUGGGAGGCUUAUGAAUCAUCAAAGUCCAGCAGCGACACCCAAAGCCAACAUGCUGAUCGACAACACGACAGUAACAGUUCUGUCAAUCGGCCUCCCACCCAGAAGGACAUUGUACGUGUUGUUCGAGCCGAAGUGGCAGCCUGUUUUCAACCCAUCACAAAGUUGAUUCUUUUAAAUAUGGAAUGGAGCAGAACUGAUUUCGCUGAGAUGAUAAGUAGACUUCGUGCACUGCAAAGGGAUGUCACAGAGUUGGCAAAUGAAAUGCGUAAUAUGCGAGCAGAUCAAAGACUGGCGUUAGACGCAAUCUCUCUUAUGAAUGAAAGAAUGAGUGUCAUUCAAAGGUGUGUGUGUGAGACGCACCAAAUGAUGACUACUACUAGAAAAUGAUGGGUCUGUUUAUUAUAUCAUACGGAUUUUUAUUCAAGCCUAUUUUUGCUAAAUUGUUUUUCUUUUUUAUAUAUAAUUGUAUUAACGAGUGAUUUUUAAAAAAAUGGUUUGCAUGCUUGUUUAUAUCAUUUUUGUGUGUUAUUUGAAUAGUUUUCUUAAAUAAAUAUUUUCAAAAUGGCCCCUAAAAGAUGUCACACUGAUUUCAGUGACAGCCAACCAGAUACUGUGCAGGAUAUGAUUUUCCAAGUAACGCAA